Molecule: non-coding RNA, 1922 nt
Organism: Punica granatum (pomegranate)
Lineage: Eukaryota; Viridiplantae; Streptophyta; Magnoliopsida; Myrtales; Lythraceae
Source: RefSeq, a predicted model, not a curated record
GCUAAGCUGCGGUUUUCUUGUUGUGUUGGCUAAAAGGUAAUUAGACAGGCGGUUUUUUAAGAACCGCAUCAUUAAACGAAGAUAGGAGCGGCGGUUCUCCUCUCCGCAGCCCUAAGAGCACACGUAAACGAAGAUAGGAACCGUAUCAACUCUCUGCGUUCCCAUCCCGCCCACUGUUCAACUAUCUCCAUAAUUCUCUCGGAGCGGUAGUUCACAUGCCUGACUCAGUCUAUAAUAAUCCCACGUACGAACUUCACAGAUUGUUUUCAAUGCUCUGUUCUCCUCUGUCGAUUUCGAUUGCCCUUUUCAAUUUUCCCAGAUUCUUUGAUGAUCUACUUCGAUUUUGAUGAGUCUGUAAGUUUGCCUCAACGUCGCUUUCAAAUCUUCUCAUUUUGGCUCUGAAUUUCUAGAUAUUUUCAUUGACUUCACUAUCUUCUUUGGCACUAUCUUCAGUUUCUUAGCACUAUCUUUGGCACUGCAUUCAUUUCCUAUUGAAAGGUACGAAUUUCCCAGAUUUCUCUCUUUUAUUUUCUUCUAAGCUUGAUUUUUUUUUUUAAUCUUUAAUGUUACAGCUUGGCCACCUGGAUUACUAGAUAAUUUUGCCCUAAUAUAAUGAAGAAUUUGGCAACUCCGUUUAGGGCACAAUUGGCUCACCAUAUUGCAACUGAGAGGUAUCAAUAUCCGAAGGAUUCAGUUCUAAUUUCAAUCACUAUCUAUAAAUUGCCAUCCACUUUCUGCAUAGAUUUGUGAAGAUGUAUGCUGGAAGAUGCUCUUCCCUUGAAUCAAAAGAAUGUCCAUGAGAAGAAGAAGAGAGCUUGCAAACAAAAUAUUCAAGGGAAAGACGAUCUGUCUUGUAGUGAGUGUUGCUCAUUGUAUAUUAUCGCGCGCGGCCACCUUCGCUUCAGCGAUCCAAUGGUGGCCAUAUAUAUCCAGCGGAGUCAAUUAGAGUGCCAACGAAAUGAUCAUGCAAAGGGAUGGGAAGAUGUUUCAACCUUAAUUUAUUAUAUAGGGUCUUGUAAAAUAAAGCUGGGAAGAAAGAGAGAUGAUGAAAAAUAUAUAAAGUGAAGAGAGAGAAAGAGCGGAGAUAAUGGAUUCUUAUUUAUUAAAGAAAUUCACUUUUCACACUUUUCUUUUGGAAUUUUUGAAAAAAAAAACAGUAUUUUAUAUUGAUAAAAAAAUUGGGUGUUAUCAAACAUUGAAAAAAUAGUGAAUUUACUUUCGGUUAAUAUCUUUCAAUAUAUAUUGUUUCGUAAUGUUUCUUUGACUGCUUUUCUUGUUGGAGCUCUUAUCCAUCUAACUCAAGUUUUAGGCCUCAGGUUUAGUCGCUUUUCAAUUUCGACAUAAUUCUAUCUUUUUUCUGAUCAUAUUAAGAACUUUAGCUAUUAUGUUCCCUUAAUUAGUUUAUUAUUAACAUGAUUUUUAUAUUAAUAAAUAAUUUUCAAAAAAUUAAAUCUUUUAAAAUGUAAAAUUGAAAAGGAAGAGAAUGGAAAGAGAGGUAUAGCGAUAGGAGCAUAAUAGCAAAUACCAUCGUAUUUCCCUUGUAACUUUUUUAUACGUUUUUCAGGUAAAGAAAAAGAAAAAAAAAACAAGUCGGAGGGAGGAUAAAUUUUCACCACCUAACCCUUUGAUUAGACAAUACUCAACAGUUUCUUAUGUCAUAUCGCAAUUAUGAUCCACAUAUAUUACCUAAGAUUAAUUAGUCUAUCAUCUGAUUCUUCAACCGUGCGAUUGCAUGAUUGGAUAUGAUUCGCAUAUUAAUAUAUGGUAUCAGUAUACACGCUUUACUAUUUAAGCAAAUAUAUAUAAGUAGUUGGUGGCAACGACAUGGAAAUGAUAGCAACUACCGGCAAAAUCAAAGAAACAGAGAUAUUCUGUUCUGGAAAAUUAUGUUGUUUUUUCUUUUCUCCUUCCUCAUACGUCAA